GGCUCUGUGGAGCAAUGGAUAGCACAUUGGACUUCUAGCAUGACCGAGAGAUUCAAAGGUUGCGGGUUCGAGUCCCACCAGAGUUG
This 86-nucleotide transfer RNA is filed under the name Mus musculus (house mouse). It matches the Rfam family "tRNA". Rfam says of the family: Transfer RNA (tRNA) molecules are approximately 80 nucleotides in length. The record is from Rfam by way of RNAcentral. Lineage: Eukaryota; Metazoa; Chordata; Mammalia; Rodentia; Muridae.